CAACGGUGAAACUCAAAGGAAUUGACGGGGCCCGCACAAGCGGAGGAACAUGUGGUUUAAUUCGAUGAUACGCGAGGAACCUUACCCGGGCUCAAACGGGAGACGACAGGGGCAGAGAUGCCCUCUUCCACGGACGCCUUCCGAGGUGCUGCAUGGUUGUCGUCAGCUCGUGCCGUGAGGUGUCGGCUUAAGUGCCAUAACGAGCGCAACCCCUGCCGACAGUUGCUAACGGUUAAAGCCGAGGACUCUGUCGGGACUGCCGGCGCAAGCCGCGAGGAAGGCGGGGAUGACGUCAAAUCAGCACGGCCCUUACGUCCGGGGCGACACACGUGUUACAAUGGCCGGUACAGCGGGAAGCCAGGCGGCGACGCCGAGCGGAACCCGAAAACCGGUCUCAGUUCGGAUCGGAGUCUGCAACCCGACUCCGUGAAGCUGGAUUCGCUAGUAAUCGCGCAUCAGCCAUGGCGCGGUGAAUACGUUCCCGGGCCUUGUACACACCGCCCGUCAAGCCAUGGGAG
RNAcentral lists this ribosomal RNA (518 nucleotides) under uncultured Bacteroidota bacterium. RNAcentral describes it as "bacterial SSU rRNA". It matches the Rfam family "Bacterial small subunit ribosomal RNA", at positions 889 to 1410 of the family's 1533-position model. Lineage: Bacteria; Pseudomonadati; Bacteroidota. The record is from RNAcentral.